RNAcentral lists this long non-coding RNA (591 nucleotides) under Homo sapiens (human). RNAcentral's name for it is "non-protein coding lnc-STMND1-4:13". The record is from RNAcentral. Lineage: Eukaryota; Metazoa; Chordata; Mammalia; Primates; Hominidae.
GUCCCUGCACCUAGUUGGAGGGGACUGAACGACAACGGGGCGCUACUCAGGCAACCUGGGGGACUCCCCCAAGGGCUGUCAGGCUUCAGCUGGGAGCCGAUGCAACACCCCAGCGGGGAGGGGAGGUCGGCCCAUUCUAAUCCCGACGUGUCCUUGGUCCCAGGCGCUCGGAGCAGCAUCUGAGAGGGCUCACUCUGAUCAUCAGCUGCACGUUAAGCCACAAACCGGCGUCGCUUCGGCGUUCCGGAACCCAGGCCUGGGGGCCGCGGGGAUUGCCUCUGCGUGCAACUCCGGAAAGUUUCAAGGGGUCCCCCGACUGCACAGGUCCGGAAAUCGGCUUUGAUAUGGAACUACUCCGCUCUAGCCUGGAAAGGAGACCCGCGCACUCCUCUCGCAGCUAAUUUCGGAUCAUUAAUUUAAUCGGAAAUGAGGUAACCAGUGUAGGAGACAGAGAAAGCAACCGGAGCAUCAAAUGGCAGUUCUCGAGAAUCGACGAGGAACUUAAAUCUGGACUCAGGGUUUCAGUGCGGUCUCCGACUCCCACCACCCCGCCCCUCCGCCUGUCUCGCCGCCAGGUGUGACCUCCACGCG